Molecule: ribosomal RNA, 256 nt
Filed under: uncultured Anaerococcus sp.
Lineage: Bacteria; Bacillati; Bacillota; Tissierellia; Tissierellales; Peptoniphilaceae
Description: partial 16S ribosomal RNA
Rfam family: Bacterial small subunit ribosomal RNA
Source: RNAcentral
CGGACGGGUGAGUAACGCGUGAGUAACCUGCCUUACACAAGGGGAUAGCCGUUGGAAACGACGAAUAAUACCCUAUGACAUAAACUCUUCGCAUGAGGAGCUUAUCAAAGAUUUAUCGGUGUAAGAUGGACUCGCGUCUGAUUAGCUAGUUGGUGAGGUAACGGCCCACCAAGGCGACAUCAGUAGCCGGCUUGAGAGAGUGUACGGCCACAUUGGGACUGAGACACGGCCCAGACUCCUACGGGAGGCAGCAGGC